UUUUGUAUGUCAGUAGAUUUUCUAUUUGUUUUACUCAGUUUUUUUGAUUCGAAAAAAAUUUACAUUUAUUAUUUGUUGUUCAAUUUUCAUUACAAAAUUGCGAUUUAAUUUACUUAAGGCCUUUACAGCAAGAAUCCAUGGGCGGCUAGCACCCCAGACAUAGUAAGAAAAAUUCUCAGCAGCAUCCUGGUUUGGGAAGAGGACGAACUAGCUAGCAAUAAGGAGAAGAAGGCGAACCGAACUUCGCAGAGUGUAUAUCCACAAAUAAUUCGAAUUGCUGGUGGUCAUUUCCCAGACCGAAGUAUGCUCUCACAAACAAUUCUUUGGCCAGAAGGAAUAACAACACUGAAGCUGUUGGAUCUGAAUGGGGCUUUGGUGGAGCACACUAUAUAUUCACUACAGCAUCUAGAAGAAGAGAAGAGUGGUCGAAAUUUUGUUGGCGCAUUUUCUGUCUGUUGAAUGGGCGGGAAAUCGCUUGUGCACUCGAUGAUUCUUUUUCGUUCACUGGGAAAGAAAGAAGAAUGGACGCAGGAUAUGGCCAAACGUGUAGCCCAAGGAUAUGAUUUUAAACUUUUGCAGAUAAGAAGAAUGGGACGACACUUGUAAAGUUUUGGCGUUGUGUAAACUUCUGCAUUGACUUCUUCCACCCGACUAAAAAAAUUAAAGAAAAAAAGAAAUAGAAAAAAAAACCUUUUAAGGGAGGCAAGUGCAGUAGCGUGAUGUUGUUGUUUGUUCGACCGAAUUGUCCGACGAAAUCAAUACGGAGCCAUUUUUGUUGUAUCCAGAGCACAUAUCGGCCAUAUGUGAGUUAAAAAGGGACUUUUGGGGUUGUAUACAAUUGUGUACCGUUUUCGAACAAAAA
This is a long non-coding RNA of Episyrphus balteatus (marmalade hoverfly), 862 nucleotides long. RefSeq lists it as uncharacterized. The transcript is spliced from 3 exons. Lineage: Eukaryota; Metazoa; Arthropoda; Insecta; Diptera; Syrphidae. The record is from RefSeq and is a predicted model, not a curated record.